GACGAACGCUGGCGGCGUGCUUAACACAUGCAAGUCGAACGGAAAGGCCCUGCUUUUGUGGGGUGCUCGAGUGGCGAACGGGUGAGUAACACGUGAUAACCUGCCCUUGACUUUGGGAUAACUUCAGGAAACUGGGGCUAAUACCGGAUAGGAGCUCCUGCUGCAUGGUGGGGGUUGGAAAGUUUCGGCGGUUGGGGAUGGACUCGCGGCUUAUCAGCUUGUUGGUGGGGUAGUGGCUUACCAAGGCUUUGACGGGUAGCCGGCCUGAGAGGGUGACCGGCCACAUUGGGACUGAGAUACGGCCCAGACUCCUACGGGAGGCAGCAGUGGGGAAUAUUGCACAAUGGGCGGAAGCCUGAUGCAGCAACGCCGCGUGCGGGAUGACGGCCUUCGGGUUGUAAACCGCUUUCGCCUGUGACGAAGCGUGAGUGACGGUAAUGGGUAAAGAAGCACCGGCUAACUACGUG
RNAcentral lists this ribosomal RNA (467 nucleotides) under uncultured bacterium. RNAcentral's name for it is "partial 16S ribosomal RNA". It matches the Rfam family "Bacterial small subunit ribosomal RNA", at positions 28 to 507 of the family's 1533-position model. The record is from RNAcentral.